GACGAACGCUGGCGGCGUGCUUAACACAUGCAAGUCGAACGGAAAGGCCCUGCUUUUGUGGGGUGCUCGAGUGGCGAACGGGUGAGUAACACGUGAGUAACCUGCCCUUGACUUUGGGAUAACUUCAGGAAACUGGGGCUAAUACCGGAUAGGAGCUCCUGCUGCAUGGUGGGGGUUGGAAAGUUUCGGCGGUUGGGGAUGGACUCGCGGCUUAUCAGCUUGUUGGUGGGGUAGUGGCUUACCAAGGCUUUGACGGGUAGCCGGCCUGAGAGGGUGACCGGGCACAUUGGGACUGAGAUACGGCCCAGACUGCUACGGGAGGCAGUAGGGGGGAAUAUUGCACAAUGGGCGGAAGCCUGAUGCAGCAACGCCGCGUGCGGGAUGACGGCCUUCGGGUUGUAAACCGCUUUCGCCUGUGACGAAGCGUGAGUGACGGUAAUGGGUAAAGAAGCACCGGCUAACUACGUG
Molecule: ribosomal RNA, 468 nt
Filed under: uncultured bacterium
Lineage: Bacteria
Description: partial 16S ribosomal RNA
Rfam family: Bacterial small subunit ribosomal RNA
Source: RNAcentral